Molecule: ribosomal RNA, 1302 nt
Filed under: metagenome
Description: bacterial LSU rRNA
Rfam family: Bacterial large subunit ribosomal RNA
Source: RNAcentral
UAGGACGUUUACGAUUCCGAAGUCAUUGGAAGGAGAGUCAAGAAAAGCCGAUGCUGGACGAUUAUGGUGCCCGUACUAAAACUGACACAGGUAGGCGAGAUGAGUAUUCUAAGGCGCUCGAGAGAACGCUCGUGAAGGAACUCUGCAACAUGGCUCCGUAACUUCGGGAUAAGGAGCGCCCUUUGGGGUGUUAAAGCCUCGGGGGGCCGCAGUGAAAAGGUUCUAGCGACUGUUUACUAAAAACACAGGUCUGUGCGAAGGCGCAAGCUGAAGUAUACAGACUGACGCCUGCCCGGUGCUGGUAAGUUAAGGAAGAGGGUUAGCCGUAAGGUGAAGCUCGCAACCGAAGCUCCAGUAAACGGCGGCCGUAACUAUGACGGUCCUAAGGUAGCGAAGUUCCUUGUCGGGUAAGUUCCGACCUGCAUGAAUGGCGUAACGACUGGAACACUGUCUCCACGAGCGACUCGGUGAAACUGUAGUUGUCGUGAAGAUGCGACAUACCCGCGAUUAGACGGAAAGACCCCGUGAACCUUUACUGUAGGAUGAUAUUGGGUUUAGACCAACAUGCGUAGUGUAGCUGGGAGACUUUGACCGCUGGCUUCUGGGUCAGCGUGAGUCGGCCAUUGAAGCACCAGCCUUGUUGUGUUUGAAUUCUAACUGCGAACCCAUGAAUCUGGGCGCAGGACCGUGUUAUCUGGGCAGUUUGACUGGGGCGGUCUCCUCCUAAAGAGUAACGGAGGAGUUCAAAGGUACCCUCAGCCUGGUUGGCAAUCAGGCAUCGAGCGCAAAGGUAGAAGGGUGCUUGACUGCGAGCCCGAUGGGGCGAGCAGGUGCGAAAGCGGGACUUAGUGAUCCGGCGGUGCUGGAUGGAAAGGCCGUCGCUCAACAGAUAAAAGGUACUCCGGGGAUAACAGGCUUAUCUCCUCUGAGCGUUCACAGCGGCGAGGAGGUUUGGCAUUGAUGUCGGCUCAUCGCAUCCUGGGGGUGGAGAAGCUCCCAAGGGUUUGGCUGUUCGCCAAUGAAAGCGGUACGUGAGCUGGGUUUAGACCGUCGUGAGACAGGUCGGUCCCUAUCUGUCGUGGGCGCAGGAAACGUGAGCGGUUUUUCUCCUAGUACGAGAGGAUUGGAGAGGACGCACCUCUGGUGUGCCAGUUGUCGCGCUAGCGGCAUCGCUGGGUAGCCACGUGCGGCCAGGAUAAACGCUGAAGGCAUAUAAGCGUGAAACCCUCCGCAAGAUGACGUUUCCCGUACUUUGUACGAAGGCUCCCGGAAGACUACCGGGUCGAUAGGCCGGAUGUGUAA